Non-coding RNA from Podarcis lilfordi (Lilford's wall lizard), 74 nucleotides. NCBI's taxonomy places the organism in Eukaryota, Metazoa, Chordata, Lepidosauria, Squamata, Lacertidae. The record is from the annotation of a GenBank genome assembly.
UUAGGGAUAGUUUAGUUGGUAAAGCAUAAGACUUAAUUUCAGGGUUGUGGGUUCAAGCCCCACAUUGGGCAAAA